CAAAAUUCUUUACUUAGAGAUUCCUUUUCCUGGAGCAUUCAGUGAGUCCCAGUCCUUGAGAAUAGGAUUUAUCAUAUGUACACCCAUAUUUCCUUGCUUAUACUUUGAUGAGAGCAAAGUAUCAUAAGGAAAAUGACAACCAUAUUCAUCAAAUACCCUGAAUGGACUGCAGGUUUAGUUUCUGGCUUUGCUGUGACAAGGUCUGUUGGUGGACCCUAUUACUAGCACCUGGCUGUGCCCACCACUGUCAGACUCUGGUCUCUCUGUGACCCAUU
Lagopus muta (rock ptarmigan) is the source of this 275-nucleotide long non-coding RNA. RefSeq lists it as uncharacterized. The transcript has 3 exons. The record is from RefSeq and is a predicted model, not a curated record. NCBI's taxonomy places the organism in Eukaryota, Metazoa, Chordata, Aves, Galliformes, Phasianidae.